Non-coding RNA from Camellia sinensis, 620 nucleotides. The record is from RefSeq and is a predicted model, not a curated record. NCBI's taxonomy places the organism in Eukaryota, Viridiplantae, Streptophyta, Magnoliopsida, Ericales, Theaceae.
UCUUGCUAUGUGUGUGUUGGAGAAUUCAAUUAUAGAGAGAGAAAAAUGGGUGUAUCAUUGUGCUGGAGCCGUGAGCUCAUUUGUCUCAUGUUGAGAAUCAGUUGUAGAGAGAGAGAGAGAGAAAGAGAGAGAGAAAAAGAGUUAUAGAGAGAGAAGUAAAGAACUUAAAUGUUGUGCUGGAAUUGAUGAAGUUAAGAGGGAAAUCAUCUUCAUAUAUCUGAAAUUGAUGCCUUAGAUUGGACAUCCGGGGUGUUAUAUUCGAGUCAAAACCAUUGCGAGUAAUAUCUCUGUAAAGAUAUAUUCGAAAUAUGUUUUGAAAAUCAUUAUACGAAUCAUGUUUAUGAAAUUUUAUUUUUAUAUGAAUGAAUAAAUGUCCCUUUUGAAGUGUAUUCUUGGCAUCCAUUAACAAGGGCCUCGCCCGGAGGAAACAAUAUAGUGGUCCUUUGCUAAUAAGGCUCUUGCUCGAGGGGAAACAAUACCUCGAGGGGAAACAAUACCGUGAGAGAGUUGUGAGGUUCUUUUUUCUUUUUCUUUUUUUUUCUUUUAUUUAUAUUUUAUUGUAAUAUUUUUAUCCCUUUUCCUCCCUUAUUCAGAUAUGUAAUAUUCAAGUGUUGUAAUAA